GUGGAGAGGAGACUCCGACCAACUGGGGCAGGCGGCUCAGAUCGCGGCCGGAGAGUGUUUGCCGGAUUGGGGAACCUCAGGAGCCUGCCCAACUUGGUACUAGGUGCAACAGGGCCUCUAGUGCAUGCCGCACGGCGAAGACACAUGCUUGUGGGCAUGGAUGGGGCUGGCAGAAAGCUGCAUUAAUUCCUAAGCCUGCAUACAGAACAGCCCGUUGUACGCUGCGCUGGAACACAGUCCCCAUUUUUGAGUACUGGAAUCUAGGAGCGGUCAUGCACACCUGUAAUCUCAGACUCUGGUUGCAGAGGCAGGAAGAGCCAGAGUUUGGAGCCAGACCGGACUACAUAGUAAACAAAGAUUUCAGUGCUUUGGAGAGAAUAGGAAUGAAUGCCUGUAAGAUCUCACAGCUGAUGAGUUAUGGAACUCGGGCUCCUAAACACUUUGUCACUGCGCACUUCUUUACUCUUUGUUGAUUUGAAGUGGGUCGGGGGAGCUGAAAUGCCACGGAGACUUAAGCACUUGAAGCCUUGAACCCGAGGCCUGUGAUCCAUUUAUCCUUGAAUGUGGUGAGAACCUUAAGAUGGGAAAUGUUAACUAAUUCUAGCUACUCCUGUAUUUGGAGAGUUUAUUGUUAACCAGUAGACCCAUGAAAUAGGGGUUCACUGGCUCCGAUUCAUUGAUGAGAAAACAGGCUGAGUAGUGUGACAUUUGUUUGCAAUCAUACAAAAUAUACUUCUUAUCAGUUGA
This is a non-coding RNA of Arvicanthis niloticus (Nile rat), 747 nucleotides long. Lineage: Eukaryota; Metazoa; Chordata; Mammalia; Rodentia; Muridae. The record is from RefSeq and is a predicted model, not a curated record.